UACGUAGGGGGCAAGCGUUGUCCGGAUUUAUUGGGCGUAAAGAGCGUGUAGGCGGCUGGGUAGGUCCGUUGUGAAAACUCGAGCUCAACCUCGAGACGCCGAUGGAAACCCUCCAGCUAGAGUCCGGAAGAGGAGAGUGGAAUUCCGGGUGUAGCGGUGGAAUGCGUAGAGAUCCGGAAGAACACCGGUGGCGAAGGCGGCCUGACUGGGCAGUGACCGUAAGGUCUUAAAAGCUGGACGCUGAGGCGACGACAGCGUGGGGAGGCAACAGG
RNAcentral lists this ribosomal RNA (272 nucleotides) under uncultured bacterium. Its description in RNAcentral is "partial 16S ribosomal RNA". It matches the Rfam family "Bacterial small subunit ribosomal RNA", at positions 524 to 776 of the family's 1533-position model. The record is from RNAcentral.